This 262-nucleotide ribosomal RNA is filed under the name uncultured bacterium. RNAcentral describes it as "partial 16S ribosomal RNA". It matches the Rfam family "Bacterial small subunit ribosomal RNA", at positions 99 to 354 of the family's 1533-position model. The record is from RNAcentral.
CGCACGGGUGAGUAACACGUGAGUGACCUGCCUUUUAGACUGGAACAACUUACCGAAAGGUGAGCUAAUGCCGGAUGAGUUAUAUAAGUGCAUGUUUAUAUAGGAAAAGUUGGGGAGACCUGACGCUGAAAGAUGGACUCGCGUCCCAUUAGCUAGUUGGUAGGGUAAUGGCCUACCAAGGCGACGAUGGGUAGCCGGCCUGAGAGGGUGGCCGGCCACAUUGGGACUGAGACACGGCCCAAACCCCUACGGGAGGCAGCAG